This is a long non-coding RNA of Ixodes scapularis (black-legged tick), 311 nucleotides long. RefSeq lists it as uncharacterized. The record is from RefSeq and is a predicted model, not a curated record. Lineage: Eukaryota; Metazoa; Arthropoda; Arachnida; Ixodida; Ixodidae. The transcript has 3 exons.
GUUCAUUUCUACGUUUAAACCGAUUCCUUUACGUUUUUUUUCUUUUUUCUUUUACAGGUACUUUGUCAAGAGUAACAAACGAUAUCUGGGAGACGCUGAUGGACGCUGCGUCUAGUCAACGACCGUAGGUUGUGCACGGCUGCCGGAGCACCUUCGGGAAACGCUAACCGCCGUGCAUCUCUGCGCCCACGGUCCUGCUCGACAGUGGCUGAGACGUGCAACACAGUUGCGCCCAACUUCCCUCUAUGCUACAAGCACCCCAGGAGCUACUAUCGCCCAAAGAUGUCACAGGCGGUCAUGAUUCUUUGAGG